CCAGACUCCUACGGGAGGCAGCAGUGGGGGAUAUUGCACAAUGGGGGGAACCCUGAUGCAGCGACGCCGCGUGGGUGAAGAAGUAUUUCGGUAUGUAAAGCCCUAUCGGCAGGGAAGAAAUUGGACGGUACCUGACUAAGAAGCCCCGGCUAACUACGUGCCAGCAGCCGCGGUAAUACGUAGGGGGCAAGCGUUAUCCGGAUUUACUGGGUGUAAAGGGAGCGUAGACGGCGAUGCAAGUCUGAAGUGAAGGGCGGGGGCCCAACCCCCGGACUGCUUUGGAAACUGUAUGGCUGGAGUGCAGGAGAGGUAAGUGGAAUUCCUAGUGUAGCGGUGAAAUGCGUAGAUAUUAGGAGGAACACCGGCGGCGAAGGCGGCCUGCUGGACCGUGACUGACGUUGAGGCUCGAGAGCGUGGGGAGCAAACAGGAUUAGAUACCCCGGUA
This 445-nucleotide ribosomal RNA is filed under the name uncultured bacterium. Its description in RNAcentral is "bacterial SSU rRNA". It matches the Rfam family "Bacterial small subunit ribosomal RNA", at positions 331 to 792 of the family's 1533-position model. The record is from RNAcentral.